RNAcentral lists this long non-coding RNA (796 nucleotides) under Solanum tuberosum (potato). Its description in RNAcentral is "long non-coding RNA (STUB_LNC010969)". Lineage: Eukaryota; Viridiplantae; Streptophyta; Magnoliopsida; Solanales; Solanaceae. The record is from RNAcentral.
AAGGAAGCUUUCUGCCAUCUUCAACUAUUCCAUCUUCUGCCAUCUUCAACUAUUCCAAUUUCCAUAAUCUCUUUACCUACACCCAGCUCUCUCUCUCUCUCUCUCCCUCUCCAAUUCUCCAAUUCUCCAAUUCUUCUUCUUCUGCCUUUUCCUUUUUUUUAUAUAUAGAUUUAAUUAUAGUCUCAAAUAUUUCCGGCGAAUGAAAAUAAUUUUUCAGUGAAGUAAUUGAUUUUUUUUCGAUAAAAGUUUUCUUAUAAUUGUGAUAAAUGAUUAGUAGUGAAAGAAAAUGAAGACAAUGAAUGGAAGAUGUAAUGCUAUUAAAAUGAAAGGUGAAUGAGGGGUAGCUUAACUGGACAUCAAUGGUGUAUUAUCAAUGUCGGUAAAAGGAAUAAGAUUUGAUGAAGAAGAAAGGGGAGGCGAUGGUAUACUGACGAUUGAGAUACAGCGGCCCAGUGCAAAGGGAAAUUAGUUCUGAUGCAGAAGAUGAAGAAGAAUGGUGGGGUGGGGUGGGGGUGGGGAUGGUUAAUUCAAAAAUAAUUUUUGGUUUUUCUUUUUAAAAUUCCUUUUGAAUUAUUUAAAUAAAAUUUUAAAAAUAAGUCAAGCCAAUUGACACGUGUCAUUAUUUCAUUGGUCUAUUUAGUAUGUUUAUGUGUUUGAGAUGCACGCAUGUUUGUCUUUUUAUUGAUUAUUAUUUUGUGUUAAAUAGGUAUAAAUUUGUUAAGAUUUAAGUGUUCAAUAGGUACAAGGCUACGUUGAGGUGUCUAAGUGAAAUAUACGAACAACUUUAAGGGGCCGC